AUGCAGGCAUAUAAGAUAUCAUGAAAAUAAUCUAAAGCCUUCUGAGUAGGCAUUUGUUAGCAACAGGCUAAAGUCAGUUUCAUCGCUCUGGUGUUAAUGUCACCCCGGCCGAUCAGGAUUGCCCAUGCUGCCUCUGCAGGGAGCCGUCUUCUUGGUAGUCCUGAGACCCCAUAUUCUGGGGGGAGUCCCACUAUCAUCUCCACCUGCUCUGACCACUCCGCGUAUGUGGGAGUCUAUGCCUGGGUGGUGUUGCAGGCUGGGUGUGUGGUGAGUGAUCAGUCCGUUCAGGCGGCAAU
Molecule: non-coding RNA, 296 nt
Organism: Pelobates cultripes (western spadefoot toad)
Lineage: Eukaryota; Metazoa; Chordata; Amphibia; Anura; Pelobatidae
Source: the annotation of a GenBank genome assembly